GGUCUCAAAAUCUAUUACUUGAAAUCAAAAUUGAAAAGCUCCCACCUGAUUGCAACCCUAUCAUAAAUAAAUAUUAGGAGGAAGUGUGCAACAUAAGGUGUCUUAAGCCUCAGUAAUUGGGUACUCAAAAACAACGUCUUUUCCAGAAAGCUUCCUGUAAACGGCAGCAAAGCUCUCCAAUUUGUACUCAGUGUUAUUCCGUUCUUUAGGAUCCAAGAAGACCUUCAUGAUCUUUGAUCCAUCAACUCUGUAUCUAACACGCUUUCCAACAAUCUCAGCAGGCAAUACAACAUCCUCAAGCAUAGCCUCGUGAACAGAAGUGAGGGUACGGGUACGGGGCCUCUGAGCUGCCGAUCCUUUCUUUGGUGGCCUCAAAAUCCUCCUAGUAGCUAUCAGAAUUACGUCCUUCCCGCUAAAUUUCUUUUCAAGCUCUCUAACAAGCCGCAGGUGAAUCUUGCGGAAGGCCUUCCUCAAUCUGUAUGGGACAUAGACCACAACUGCCUUGCGGUUUCCAGAAACAUCAACUUGGAUUGCAGAAUUAAUGUAAAGAUCCUUCAGGUCA
This 562-nucleotide unclassified non-coding RNA is filed under the name Hevea brasiliensis (rubber tree). The record is from RNAcentral. Lineage: Eukaryota; Viridiplantae; Streptophyta; Magnoliopsida; Malpighiales; Euphorbiaceae.